UACGUAGGGUGCGAGCGUUAAUCGGAAUUACUGGGCGUAAAGCGUGCGCAGGCGGUUCGUUGUGUCGGCGGUGAAAGCCCGGGCUUAACCCUGGGAAUGGCCGUCGAAACUGGCGAACUGGAGUGUGGCAGAGGGGGGUGGAAUUCCGCGUGUAGCAGUGAAAUGCGUAGAGAUGCGGAGGAACACCGAUGGCGAAGGCAGCCCCCUGGGCUGACACUGACGCUCAGGCACGAAAGCGUGGGGAGCAAACAGG
This 253-nucleotide ribosomal RNA is filed under the name uncultured bacterium. RNAcentral's name for it is "partial 16S ribosomal RNA". It matches the Rfam family "Bacterial small subunit ribosomal RNA", at positions 524 to 776 of the family's 1533-position model. The record is from RNAcentral.